Molecule: ribosomal RNA, 492 nt
Filed under: uncultured bacterium
Lineage: Bacteria
Description: partial 16S ribosomal RNA
Rfam family: Bacterial small subunit ribosomal RNA
Source: RNAcentral
AGUGAACGCUGGCGGUAGGCCUAACACAUGCAAGUCGAACGGCAGCACAGUAAGAGCUUGCUCUUACGGGUGGCGAGUGGCGGACGGGUGAGGAAUACAUCGGAAUCUACUUUCUCGUGGGGGAUAACGUAGGGAAACUUACGCUAAUACCGCAUACGACCUACGGGUGAAAGCAGGGGAUCUUCGGACCUUGCGCGAUUGAAUGAGCCGAUGUCGUAUUAGCUAGUUGGCGGGGUAAAGGCCCACCAAGGCGACGAUCCGUAGCUGGUCUGAGAGGAUGAUCAGCCACACUGGAACUGAGACACGGUCCAGACUCCUACGGGAGGCAGCAGUGGGGAAUAUUGGACAAUGGGCGCAAGCCUGAUCCUGCCAUACCGCGUGGGUGAAGAAGGCCUUCGGGUUGUAAAGCCCUUUUGUUGGGAAAGAAAAGCAGCAGGUUAAUACCCCGCUGUUCUGACGGUACCCAAAGAAUAAGCACCGGCUAACUUCGUG